UGGGAAGGCAGGCUUGAAGGAGACAAAGGCAGUGUGGAGGACAGUGGAUUCCUCUUUGCUGGAGCAUAUGGAGAGAUGUGCUGCACCAAUAGGAUUUUCUCAGUGGAGUCCAAGGUACUGGGAUUUGGGAAACAGGAUUAGCUGCUGUGUAAUAAUGUGGAUGUGAUGGGGGGCAGCAUGCUCAGAAGAGGCAGCCCAUGUGGUGUGUGUUUGUGUGUGUGUAUGCGCGUACGAUGGGGGGUUGAAGAGUGCAGUCAAAGGGAUUAAGAAGGUCCCAAGAAUGAGAUCUUCUUCUUCUUCUUCACUCUUUCUCUGAGUUAAAAAUGCAACCGUCCUAAUUUAAGGGCCGAGCGCUGUAAUGAAACAUGAAUGAGGCGCGCUGGAUUUGCACACGUGGGACUUUGCUCCCUAAAUGUUCAGCAUUCAUACAUACAAACAAAAACAAAGUCACAAACAGGCAUAGCUGCAUGAGGAGAAGACAAAAGCAACAUUUUUAGGGAACCUGUCUUUACUGUUUACUUAUUCAGCACAUUAACAAGUUUUCAACUCAACUUAAGAACAUGUGAAACACAAACCAGACCUCCUUAUCAGUUCUGGACUAUAUAAGCAACUACUUGGACACCAAGACUAGGCUCACUGUACUCUGAUAUGACCAUGAUGCAGUCUCCUGGAGUGAUACUUCAUUUGGGGGUCUUCUAUGCAAACAGCAGUGGCAAAUUUGAGGCUUGGGCUUUAAUUUCAUUGUGCUUGUUGUUUUCAAAAGCUGAAUAGCAACUAAAUAAAAAAAAUAAAUAAAGAGAAUUUGUAGCAAAAGAAGAAAAAAAAAAGUUUGGAUUUGUGCAGGAGGGGAAUAAAACACGAGAGUGGUUGUAGAAGGACCUUCCAAGAAAAAAUGAUCAGACAAAAAGGACGAUUUCUGUCAUACAAUAAAAGAUGAACAUAAAAAGAGAAAACUAAUGAAUAUUAAAAUAAGAUACAAUAAACAUAAUAGCCAAAAGCAGUUCAAGAAAAACAAAAAACAGGACAAAUAUUUGCUGUGAGCUCAGACUCUGCUGCAAAUAACUGAGAAUCAGUUUCGACUAAUAUAGCAGUUUCUGGGACUAUUAGAAAUACCGUUGAUAAUUAUGUUUUGAUAGUCAGGUGAGGGAUUUCAGUGCCAUGAACCAAGUUAACACAGCCUCGCUCUUAAAAAAGCAGUGUAAAAUUAGAUGAGAUUCUGGGGAACUGGGUACUUGAUUAUUUACACAAACAAACCCCAGUAGCCAUCAUGUAGAAGUCUCGUUCUUUGUUGCUGCACAAAUUAGCAAAUCUGGUACACUAUUAUUUGCUAAAUACAAGAUAUUUUUUCAUCAAACCUGACAAGUGGUUUAAAAAAAUCUCACAAUUCUUACUCUCAGGUGAAAAGAUGUUCAAGGUUUUUGUUGGUGCUUGUUCUUACUGUGUUCAAGUGAGGGAGUGACGUUUAAGCAUAGAUAAGAAGUGGACAACAAGAUUAACAGCUUCACUAAAUGUAGAUGUCUGUUUAUACUGAUUAAUAAAAGCUUAUUUAUUAUCAGACAGUAACAAGUGGAUUGAAGCUCACCUAAUGUGCUUAGCCUCUUGUGCUCUCCUGUAUUUCCUUCACACAAAAACAGCUCACUGAAACAGGAGUGGAAGAUACGAUUUGGACUUCAAAUAAAAAACACACUGCUCCUUAAACCAAACGUCUUGUCCUUAGCUGAACCUGCAGUAUAAAGGGGUGGUGGCAGUGGCUCAGGCUGAAAAAAGGGACCAUAAGUUGCAUUUAACCAGGAGGGCAGUGUUUUAAGUCCUGCUGCAGACUAUGUUUGAAAAUUUGGCCGGUUGCUGCUGGAGUCCUAAGCGCUGCAAGGGACCUCCAAGCAAAACACUGAAGCCUCAGCUCAUCCAUACACAGCCCCCUUUCUCUAACAUCUCCUAUAACUCCAUUAAUGCAUGUCUAGAGGAACUAUGCUGGGUUAUGAGUAUGUAAAUUUGACAGAAUUAAAAAAUCUUUUUACACAGAUAAGAUUUUGACAUAGAUGACAUUCAGCUCUGAAUUAAAGAUAAAUACCCCAUUAAAAACAAUGGCACUGACAGAAACACACAGAUUUAACAGUCAAAGUUUCAAUUUAACUUUUAUCAACUAAAAACUGUGUUCUCAACUCUUCAUCAAAUGUCAAUAAAAUCAUCAUCUACAAGCAGAGACCAAGCCUUGAAAAUCAGAAAGUUGAAAAUACUCUAGAAAGUGUUUCCAAAAAGAACAAACUUGUCAUGUACUCAAUGAGAAACAUCACUUCACAGAGCAAAAGUGUCCUCCGUUGACGCCCUGCCUCUGUCGAGUAUAUCUACUUGAAAGUUUGACAAACUGUGAAAUAAUGGAGAAAAGUGUCUGCCAAUAUGAAGAAUGCAUACCUCUGGUUCUGCUGCAUCAAUAUUAAUCCUUUUCAUUUAUUCGUGUGCCUGUCAUGAGUGGUAUAAUAGUGGCAGAUUUGUUUUUUGAAAACUCUAAAAACCCUAAUUCAACUGGAAACGUGAUAAAUUAUGGAAGUAAUACACUGCCAACAUGCUGCUUCUCUGUUGACUGUGAGUGCACUUAAAGCUUAUUAGUGACUUUAAGAGAGAUAAGGAGUUGAGUCUUUAACAGACACUUGAGAACUCUUUGAAUACAUUAAAUCGAUGACUUGGGACGUCCUAUCUUGCGUAGAGAGGUCUGUGUAGAGCAUUUCCGUCACCAAGUGGUGGAGAAUCGUCAGAAGUCACAUGUUUGUUAACACUAUUUAUGAAGCCGAGUCAAAAAUUUAUGUAGUUCAAAAAAGUUUUUUUAGUUUGUCAGAGGAGAUGCCUCAUGAAAUUCUGAUCCAGAUAUGUUCUCCAGACUAUAAUCACUGACUUUUUCAUAGUUUUUUGAUCUCUUAUGUGAUCAAACUGAGAAACUUUAUGAGUACUGUUUUAAGAUUUUAGAGAAUAAUCAAAUGCGACACGUCUGGCUCCUGAUCUUGAAAUAUACUAUAUUUUAUUCCGCACUGAAACAACCUAAUAAAAACUACCAUGUCUUAAUAUUUUCAUCUUAAAAAAUCAGUUUACUCCCGGUCUCUCUGUCCUUUCAUAUUGCUGUUUACUAUCCCCUCUGCAUUAAUAAAGUAAAAGAAGCAGGGAAGAUGGAUUCUCAUAUUACAACAAUAUUUUCACCUCAAGAUACUCGCAGCUAAACAGAAACAGGCAGAGGGAAAAUAAAACCAGAUGAAUAGUGAGGAACAAAUAAAGACAUGUCAGAUUACAUUACUGUGCUCGACACAAUAGUAAGGCGGUUGUCUCUGGAUCCACUCUACCUCUGUCUUCAUCUGUGCUUCAUUGAAUGUCACUGCAGAUGGAGAAACAAAGAUUUUUCUUCUGAUGGAGGAAUUGUCUGAGCCGAAGGACCGCAGAGCUGCACCGCCACCACCGCCUUGUUGAACACAGAUGGGG
Molecule: non-coding RNA, 3465 nt
Organism: Xyrichtys novacula (pearly razorfish)
Lineage: Eukaryota; Metazoa; Chordata; Actinopteri; Labriformes; Labridae
Source: the annotation of a GenBank genome assembly